Cryptotermes secundus is the source of this 2301-nucleotide long non-coding RNA. RefSeq lists it as uncharacterized. The record is from RefSeq and is a predicted model, not a curated record. Lineage: Eukaryota; Metazoa; Arthropoda; Insecta; Blattodea; Kalotermitidae. The transcript is spliced from 5 exons.
GUUUAUCCCCAAACAAGAAAAACUCAUCUAUACUAUAAAAACAAUGUUCAAGUAGAAAUGUUUUCAAAGUCUUUUUAAAUUUAUAUAGUGCUGGUAUAUCUUUUAUAUAUUGUGGCAAGUGGUUUAAAAGACGAAGUCCAAUAUUAUUGAAGUUGUUUUUACACAUACUCGUCCUACAUGGAACUAUGAAUAAGUUGUCUUUCUUCCUUGUAUUGUGUAAGUGUACUGCUGAAUUAGUAAUGAAAACAUUCAAGUUGGAUUUCAUGUAAACUAAUAUUUCAUAUAUAUACAAACAUGGUAGAGGUAAUAUAUGUAACAAUUUAAAAUAUUGUUUGCAGCUGGUGGUUUUUUGUAUUUGCAUUAUAGCUCUAAUAGCUCUCUUUUGUAUCUUAAAGAUCAAUUUUGCAUUCGCUGAAUUGCCCCAGAAUAUCAAUCCAUAUGAUAGCAGGGAUUGAAAAUACGCAUAGUAUAAAGCGAGAACUGUCUCUAAUCCUGAUACUUUUUUGACUAUUCGUAAGCCAAAACAUAUUUUACUUAACUUACUGUAGUUCUGCGAUGUAUACCACAUCACAAGAUGUAAAAACAACCAUAAAUCUCUGUGUGAUUAUAGCAAAGGCUAAAACCCAGAAUCUAUGUAAUGCACAUUGUCCGCUUUUCUGUUAAUAAUAAAAAAAAAAAGUGAAGGUAGUCUGAUCCGGUCUGAUCCAUCUGAUCCUAAGCUAAUCUUACGGAACGGUGACACCGCCGCGUGUGGGAUAACGCCUCGUAGGCCUCGUGUAGUAUGCACAUUGGAUAUGAGUAUAUUGUGAUAGAAUCGGGAAAGACACUGACUAAUAAAAAUUUUUGCGAAGUUUUAUAACCUGUCAGCAACAACUGUGAUCCUUGCCGUCCUUGCGCUGCUUGCGCCUAAGUUGGUUGCCGCCAUUUGGAAAUGUCCGUCGGUGUUAAUCGUGUUAAUGGUGUUACGACUAGUGUGAAGAAUGAUGUAGGUAGAGUAAUUCGUUUGCAUAUUGACAGAACCUUGGAACAGUAAAUAUUGACCUUCCAGAGCGCCAAGUGUUUCAGAGCGAUCUCCGGAUUCCAUAUUCAGUAUUUGAAGAGUAAGAAAAUAAAUCAAGAGAUGAAGAUGACAACAAAGUGACAUUCAACUCACUGAAAUGUCAGUUAAAACAUCUUGUUUGCUCUGGCCCUUUUUAUGAAGAACUGGAGAAUAUGUAUAGCUGUGUUAAUUUUGCCAUGAAUUAUAUGACUCUUGGGUCUACAGUGUGGGCAGGAUGACCAACAUUCACCAUUUGCUGAACUGUUCAGAAGCAGUCCAUUUGUUUCAUGAGUAAGUCCCAGAAGCUGGUGCUCUGAUAAACUAUGGUGAUUGUGUGGACACUAAGUCAUCUCACAUGCAAGAGAAGAAUGAGAAACGUAUUGUCUACUGGGUAGUUCUUGAGUGUGGAACUUGGUCACUUGCUGCAACUGAUUCUUCUUGUGAACCUUGUUCACUUCCCAAUGCACCCCAUCAUGAAGGCCAGUACGGAUUGGACCAUGGGCUGUGGCAGGACAAUUCCUGAUAAUAUCAGAGCAAAGUCUACAUUUCACACCUUGUCCAGCUCUGGGCAGAGCCAGAAGGCAAUAUAUCAUCACCCUCUGAGGAUCCAACAAACACAAAAGAAAGGAAACAGGCCCACGAAUUGGUUCUCCAAAGGAUUACGCUGGUCUGUUGAAGGUGUGGCGUAGCUGCUUUGCCGAAUAUACCUCUUAGUACAGCUAUACAUCGAUCCACUGUGACAUCAUCAGCGACCCUUUCUGUGAUGGCAGCAACCUUGUCUGCCAGUAAUACAAGAAGAAAUGGUGCACAUUACAAGUUCCAGAGCAGUAACCACUGGCCACUGCUUGGUGUUGUGCUGUCAUUUCCAAAUGAUCUUCGUUAUUUAUCUGAUGUUGACCGUGUUCUUUUGUGAAAAUGACAUAUCAAAUGGAAAUAUUUUAUACAAUUCUUGGGUAUUUGAGUAUGGGGCCAGUCAUUGCCAUUUCUCCAACUGCCUCUCGAAUAAGCUAUGAAUGGAAAGUAAUUUUUGAGGGAAACUUCUGGGAAAAGUAAUGGAAGCUGUGGUUAAAGCUUUACCAUCCAUAGCAGUGGUGUUGUGACAGUUGGAAGACAUCUUGAAUUUAACUAAUGGUGAGUAGCGUAUUGUCAUGUGUUAGUGACCAGACAUGUUUGCAUUGAUUAUUGGAUUUACUGAACACUUAAAAUAGUCUCAUUAUUUUACAUGCUUUAGAAACAAAUAUGGCAUGCACUAAAUCUCCGUU